This is a long non-coding RNA of Artibeus jamaicensis (Jamaican fruit-eating bat), 1722 nucleotides long. RefSeq lists it as uncharacterized. The transcript has 3 exons. The record is from RefSeq and is a predicted model, not a curated record. Lineage: Eukaryota; Metazoa; Chordata; Mammalia; Chiroptera; Phyllostomidae.
AAAAAAAUGUUUCUGGGGCCUCUUCACCUGUGGCAAUAGACACAGACAGCCCGUAAUUGCCGGGAUUUUAGACUUUUCACUUGGGGGUGGGGGCGGGUUGGGACAGGGGACCAUAGGGAAGAAUGAACUGGUGCCUAAGUUUUCAAUCGGAUCAUUCUUCUCAACUUGGGCAGCUCUUUUCUUCUUUUCUUCCUUCCUUCCUUCCUCCCUUCCUCCCCCCAGGCUCGGCGCACACACUCGGCUUCACCAGCGGGGGCACCACGGGCAAGGCCCGAGGGUAGCACUGCCGCGGACCCGAGCGCCCCUGGUAGUCUAGAGAGCAGGCUGCCCAGGACGAGCGACCGCUGCGUGGCACGGACACCUGGCCCCAGAAGACUGCAGGGUCAGUGAAGACUACAAUUUUUGGAGAAGGCUUCAGAGGAAAGCCUUGAAGAUCAGUCUUUCUUAAAGGCAUGAAAGCAAGAACGAGUAUGGAGCAUGCAGAGGAGAGAGAGGAAGAUGCAAAAACUCUGACGUUUGCGGGAUAGAGUUGGAAAACACUCGGAUCCUGAUGGGCCCAGAGCUGUGAUGGACACACAGUCCAGACCUUGAUAACUGAAAAGAAAACCAACAUUGCUCAAGCUACCAUAUUUAUUUUCUAUUUUACAAUGGAAAUUUCAUUUGGUUAAUUUUCAAAACUAUUUACUGAGCGUAUAAUGAAGGUCUGUGUCAGAUACAAAUACAAAGUGAAGAAGAAACAACCUCGUCCACUGUCUAGAAGCUCAUAUCCUGGGGAGAGGGAAGUGGGGAUGUGUCUGUAUUCCCAUGCCUCUCUUUGAAAGGACUUCCAGUAAGAACAAUGAGAUGUGCAACACAAGAAAAUGAAGUGUAUUGGAAGUAAGUGAGAAAGAUUAAAGCAGAGGGAAAGCAAUGAUGGGAUCAGAGGUAAGCUAAUGCACAAAAUAAAUACAAUAAAGGACACCAUGUACUUGCUAAGGAUUCAUCAGGCAUUUGGCUCUCAGCCUUUUAGCAAUCUCUGUACAAGGAAAAAUACAAUCAGUUGCACAAUCCACAGGUUCCACCAGAUAGAAGCUGACAAAAGCAGACCAAUUGUUCAGGAUAUAACUAGUCUGGAUAUAAAGCCAAACAAACCCACAAGGAUCCCGAAAGUAUAAUAAUAUGUGAUAUACUGAAGAACAUCCUCAAUAAUAUCCUUAUAGCAAAGGAGCUAUUUCUGCUAGCAUAUCUCAGUAUGGGCUGAUGGCUUAUCAUCAAAGUCAAAUUUCAGUGAAAGCAAUUUACAGGGGUUCACUUAAGCAGCAAAUGUCAUUACUGUGUGGUAAGUACGGUGAUAGAAAUAUGCAUCCAGCACUAUGGGACAAAAGGGGACACAACUGCAACUUCAUUAUUCAGAGUUGGAGCAGACGUCGUCACCAAGGAUGGGGCCCAGGACUUCCGUCCAGUUUUCAAAGGAAAUAGGCAGGUUUUGCUGCAAACACCUAACUCGUAUAACUCAAAUUUUUAUUGUGGAUGGGACAUUGUUUUAAAAGAGAUUUGUUACCAAAGAAAAAUUCACACUAAACAAUUAAGACACUGAGGGACAAAUGCCAUAUGAUCUCACCUUUAACUGGAACCAAAUCAACAAAACAAACAAGCAAGCGACAUACAACCAGAGACACUGAAAUUAAGAACAAACAGACAGCAACCAGAGGGGAGGAGGGAGAAGAUAAUGGGGGAAAGGGU